GGUUAAUUAAUUUUAAUAUUUAUAUUAAAUAUAUCUCGAAUUUAAAUGAUUUAAUUAAAAAUUUUAAGUUAAUGUAAAAUUAUUAUUAUUAAUUUUUAAUUAGAAGUGAAAUGUUAUUCGAUUUUAAAUAUAUCUAGUUUUUUUAGAAAUGAAUUUUAAUUCAGCUUUAAAAUUAAAAUUUUUUGAUUUUUAAAUUUUAAAUUAAUUAUUUUAAAGUAAAUAUAUUCGGGAUAAAUUGAUUAUAUUAUUUAUAAAUUUAUUUUAUAUUAAUUUAUUUAAAAGUAAUAAUAGAAUUUUUUUUCUUUUAAAAAAAUGUUUUAAUUUAUAAAAUUUAUUAGUGUAAUUUUAUUAAAAAUUUAAUUUUUAUUUUAAUAAUUUAUAAAAAAAUAAUAAUUAAUUUAAUUUUAUAAGUUAUAAUGAUUAUAUUAGUAAUUUUUUUUUGUUUAAAUAAUUUUAAAAUAAUGAAAUAAAAUUAAUUUAAGGAAUUAGGCAAAAUAGUUUAAAAAUUUAAUAAUAUAUAUUUACCUGUUUAUCAAAAACAUGUCUUAUUGAAAAAUUAAUAAUAAGUUUGUUCUGCCCAUUGAAUUAAAAUUUUAAAAGGCUGCAGUAUAUUGACUGUACAAAGGUAGCAAAAUAAAUAGUUUUUUAAUUGAAAACUUGAAUGAAAGAAUUAAUAAAAUAUAAACUGUCUCAAAUUUAAUUUAAAUUGAAUUUAUAAUUAUAGUAAAAAUACUUUAAUAUAUUUAUUAGACGAUAAGACCCUAAGAAUUUAAAAAUAUUUUUUUAUAAAUUUUAUUUAUAAUUAAAAAUUUUUAAAAUUAAUUAUUUUUUUAUUGGGAGGGUAAUUAAAUUUUUAAACUUUAAUUUUUAAUAAACAAAGAUAAUUGAAUUAAUGAUAAUUUUUAUAAUUUAAAGAAUAAAUUACCUUAG
RNAcentral lists this ribosomal RNA (930 nucleotides) under Polistes gigas. RNAcentral's name for it is "partial large subunit ribosomal RNA". Lineage: Eukaryota; Metazoa; Arthropoda; Insecta; Hymenoptera; Vespidae. The record is from RNAcentral.